Solanum tuberosum (potato) is the source of this 195-nucleotide non-coding RNA. Lineage: Eukaryota; Viridiplantae; Streptophyta; Magnoliopsida; Solanales; Solanaceae. The record is from RefSeq and is marked provisional.
AUACCGAACUUUGGAAAUGACCUUUUACCCCUGCACUAUUUAAUAGUUAUUUUAAAGGUAUAUAUGUGCCCAGGUGGACAUCAUAAAAAUUGCAUCAUUAUAAAUAGUAACGUGUCUACGUGAGCAAAUAUAUACCUUUAAAAUACACUAUUAAAUAGUGUAGGGGUAAAAGGUCUUUCAUAAAAUUUGGUAUCG